UCCUACGGGGCGCAGCAGCCCUGGAGGUUCCCUACGGGGGCGCAGCGGCCCGAAACUUCUCAUGCACGCAACUGCGUAUAGGGGGACAUCGGAGUGCCUCCAUAUUGGUGUCUGUCCUCCCGUCUAAAAAACGGGAGUUACAAGGGCCGGGCAAGACCGGUGCCAGCCGCCGCGGUAAUACCGGCGGCUCGAGUGGUGGCCGAUAUUAUUGAGUCUAAAGGGUCCGUAGCCGGCUUUGCAAGUCUCUCGGGAAAUCCCAGCGGCUUAACCGUUGGUCGUCCGGGGGUACUACAUUGCUUGGACUGGGAAAGGUAGGAGGUACUCAGGGGGUAGGAGUAAUCCUGUAAUCAUUUGUUCCUGUGAAAUCCUGUAAUCCA
Molecule: ribosomal RNA, 377 nt
Filed under: uncultured archaeon
Lineage: Archaea
Description: bacterial SSU rRNA
Rfam family: Archaeal small subunit ribosomal RNA
Source: RNAcentral